This 735-nucleotide long non-coding RNA is filed under the name Ananas comosus (pineapple). Its description in RNAcentral is "long non-coding RNA (ACOM_LNC027286)". The record is from RNAcentral. Lineage: Eukaryota; Viridiplantae; Streptophyta; Magnoliopsida; Poales; Bromeliaceae.
CAAUUUCAAUUUGUGUUAUUGACAAGGGUUAAUUGCCCUGCAAACGUAAUAAAUUACAAAUAUAUUCUUAUAAAGUUUAAUUUUCAUAUAUUGUCAUUACAAAAGUUCUAAUAUUUUAAAAUAUGUCCCUCUAACUUGUUAUUGUUAUAUAACUAUUUAUUUUUUAACAGCAAAUAAGUAAAAUAUCAAUUUUGCUAUCAUAAAUAUGUUCAUCCAAAAGUCCCAACUGCUAUAAUCGUACAAAAAUGCCUCUCUGAAAAAUUUUCAAUGGUCAUCCACUAUUGUUGCAACCUCUUCUCUCACCCCUUUUCUCAUACUUUUUUUAAGCAAAUAGGAAAAAAUUAUAGAGAAAAUUGUGGAAAACAUGCAACACGCAUUCGACAUGCAUAUGGAUGAAGCAACACGCGUUGUAGAUAAAUGGGAAUGAAAAAAUUCUAAAUAUAGGUUUGAAACUAGCAUGCAAGAGAGAGAGGAAAAGGAAGAUAAGGAAGAAGAAGAGUUUUCAUUAUUAGAAUUUUAAUUGAGAGAAGAAAGUAUAAUAUAAGAGGGGUACUUUACUGACUAAUUAGAAUUAAGUAUUUUAUCAAUGAUUAACUAAAUUUUUCUAACGAAACCUAACGGCAGAAACAAUUUUAAAAAUAUUAGAACUUAAAAUAUAUAUAUAUAUAUAUAUAAAAGUUUAAUUUUAUAAGUAUAUAUUUGUAAUUUAUUGUGUUUGCGUGGAGCUGUUAAUAU